This 433-nucleotide ribosomal RNA is filed under the name uncultured Ruegeria sp. RNAcentral's name for it is "bacterial SSU rRNA". It matches the Rfam family "Bacterial small subunit ribosomal RNA", at positions 508 to 936 of the family's 1533-position model. The record is from RNAcentral. Lineage: Bacteria; Pseudomonadati; Pseudomonadota; Alphaproteobacteria; Rhodobacterales; Roseobacteraceae.
CCCGGGGGACUUCCCCGGUAAUCCGGAGGGGGUUAGCGUUGUUCGGAAUUACUGGGCGUAAAGCGCGCGUAGGCGGACUGGAAAGUUGGGGGUGAAAUCCCAGGGCUCAACCCUGGAACUGCCUCCAAAACUAUCAGUCUAGAGUUCGAGAGAGGUGAGUGGAAUUCCGAGUGUAGAGGUGAAAUUCGUAGAUAUUCGGAGGAACACCAGUGGCGAAGGCGGCUCACUGGCUCGAUACUGACGCUGAGGUGCGAAAGUGUGGGGAGCAAACAGGAUUAGAUACCCUGGUAGUCCACACCGUAAACGAUGAAUGCCAGUCGUCGGGUAGCAUGCUAUUCGGUGACACACCUAACGGAUUAAGCAUUCCGCCUGGGGAGUACGGUCGCAAGAUUAAAACUCAAAGGAAUUGACGGGGGCCCGCACAAGCGGUGGA